The sequence is a transfer RNA, 84 nucleotides long. It matches the Rfam family "tRNA". From Rfam's summary of the family: Transfer RNA (tRNA) molecules are approximately 80 nucleotides in length. The record is from Rfam.
GACACCUUGGCCGAGUGGUCUAAGGCGCCAGACUUAAGUUCUGCGACUCAACAGAGUUCGUGGGUUCGAAUCCCACAGGUGUCA